AUUGAACGCUGGCGGCAGGCUUAACACAUGCAAGUCGAACGAGUGGCGGACGGGUGAGUAAUGUAUGGGGAUCUGCCUGAUGGAGGGGGAUAACUACUGGAAACGGUAGCUAAUACCGCAUACCAUCAGAUGAACCCAUAUGGGAUUAGCUUGUAGGUGAGGUAACGGCUAACCUAGGCGACGAUCCCUAGCUGGUCUGAGAGGAUGAUCGGCCACACUGGGACUGAGACAGGGCCCGGACUCCUACGGGAGGCAGCAGUGGGGAAUAGUGCACAAGGGGCGCAAGCCUGAUGCAGCCAUGCGGCGUGUAUGAAGAAGGCCUUCGGGUUGUAAAGUACUUUCAGUCGGGAGGCGUUACCGACAGAAGAAGCACCGGCUAACUCCGUGCCAGCAGCCGCGGUAAUC
This 405-nucleotide ribosomal RNA is filed under the name uncultured bacterium. Its description in RNAcentral is "partial 16S ribosomal RNA". It matches the Rfam family "Bacterial small subunit ribosomal RNA", at positions 30 to 525 of the family's 1533-position model. The record is from RNAcentral.